This 2852-nucleotide long non-coding RNA is filed under the name Sus scrofa (pig). RNAcentral describes it as "lncRNA (ENSSSCG00055021139.1)". Lineage: Eukaryota; Metazoa; Chordata; Mammalia; Artiodactyla; Suidae. The record is from RNAcentral.
GGCUUCACCCACAGCAUAUGGAAGUUCCCUGGCUGGGGUCGAACCAGAGCUGUAGCCGCCAGCCUACACCACAGCCACGCCAGAUCCGAGCCGCAUCUUUGACCUACACCACAGCUCACAGCACGCUGGAUCCUUAACCAACAGAGUGAGGCCAGGGAUCAAACCUGCUUCCUCAUGGAUGCUCGUCAGAUUCGUUUCUACUGAGCCAUGAUGGGAACUCCACUCACUCUCUGAAUCUGGAAUUUCUUGUCCUAUAAACCUCAGAGAAAUUCCUAUAAACUUUACAGAACUGAUUUGAUUUUUAACUAUUAUAAUGCAUAUGAAAAGUACCUGAAAGUAUAAGCCUCUCAAAAUGUAAGGCACAACUGUUACAAAAUAAAACCACUGUUCACAAAGCACUCAAUUUUUCCAAGCUGAACUUAGUUUAGUUUAUUUUAUUCUGUGGCACAUAGAGGUUCCCAGGGUAGGGGUCGAAUUGGAGCCACAGCUGCCAGCCUAUGCCACAGGCACAGCAACGCCAGAUCCCAGCCACAUCCACGACCUAUGCCGCAGCUUGUGGCAACACUGGAUCCUUAACCCACUGAGCAAGGCCAGGGAUCGAACCCACAUCCUCAUGGAUAUGAGUCAGGUUCCUAAUCCACUGAGCCGCAACAGGAACUCCUUAACUCAGUUAAAAUAUGUGACGAGAGAUCUAAAGGGCUCUCCCCAUGAACUGAAAUGACUGUGGCAAGAUCCAUCCCUUUACUAAAGAGCAGGAAUCAAAUUCAUAGCUAACUUGGGCAGUCAGCUAAUACUGGUAAUGUAUCAAUACAAACGACGGAAACAGCCCCAGAGGCCUCGUUUCGUAUUUAACAAAAUGUUCGCGAGUAUCACUACUAUCUUAAGGUGUUCCCUACUUUGAAAGCGGGCAACCCAGUUUCCAAAAUUACCAUGAACAAAGCCAAGGGAGAAAGCAGUAUACUGCCUAAGAGGAAAACACACAGACAGACAGAGAUACUGCUGGGGCCAAGGAAUAAAGGGUGUCCUCAAGAAGAAGCAGGGAGGAGUUCCCGUCGUGGCGCAGUGGUUAACGAAUCCGACUAGGAACCAUGAGGUUGCGGGUUCAGUCCCUGCCCUUGCUCAGCAGGUUAACGAUCCGGCGUUGCCGUGAGCUGUGGUGUAGGUUGCAGACGCGGCUCGGAUCCCGCGUUGCUGUGGCUCUGGCAAGAAAAUAAUGUACUAAAAUAUAAUUUUAAAUUAUUCAAAAAUCAUUAUAUGCAAAAAUUGCAUUUCUUAAAAAGGGGGUUAUCUAUAGAUACUCCUUUUUGUGCAAAUAUACAAUGAUUUUUAGUUUCCAGAUAUUUUAUUCUUGGUUACAAAUAACCUCUUUACAAUCCAAUAAUGUGCAUCUUCCUUCUGCUCCUACUUGCCCUGCAGGGCCAGGUCGUACUCCCAAGACAGCUAACAAGGCCUGUUCUCCCUUUAGGAAAUCCCUCAGGAAAGGAAUCACCACGCGUGAUGCUAGGUCCUCACAUUUGCUCAUGUUCUCACUUAAUCUUCACAAUCACCUCUUCAGAGAUGAAAAAACUGAGUUCAGAGAAGACAAGUCACUAUCAGUUAGUCAAAGGAAGAGCCAGAAGUCACCUCAGGUGUGACUUCAGACCCAGACUCCUUACAUACACAAUUCGCCUCCUCUGAGAUGGUCUAAGCACAUCCUAGGCCAGACUGGAAAGAAAAAAAAAAAUGAAGUGACACUGUCCUUGAGGAGCCUGUCUUGUCAACACUGAGGCCCGACCAAGACACAUCAGAGCGUCCCUCGAGCUGGAGGAGGCGGGGCAGGCUCCAGAAACACGAGGGCUUUGGUAUCCAUCCCAGGCCACUGCCCUGACCCCAAAAGGCCUGCCUUGCUGGAAGAACUAAGAAAUCCAUCUUCUACCAGAACUCGAGGAGCCGGAUCUCGAGGCCUCCGUGCCCAGCUGUGUCCUCUUGGUUGGCGCGCUCUCUCCCUGGACUAGGUACCGACGGCUAUGAAACAAGCCCUCACCCUUGUCCAGCCAUCGCUGACCCUGCCUGGUUCCAUGUUCCAAACUUCACAGUGGUUCCGGCAGAAGGGCCACAUAAAAGCUUCUCCAGAAUAGCCAAUGAUGUCAUUCCCUUGCUAGCUGUGGAGAAGGCUUCUUUGUCUUGAACUCGUAAGUAAUCCACAGUUAUCAUGAAAUUCCAGACAAAUGGGUUUGAAUCUGCCUCUGCUGGGCUGCAACCAGCUCUCUAGAGUGACCAGACCUCCGGGACUUGUUCACUACUAAUCAGCUAAUGUUUGUAACUGUAAAGACAUAAUGACUAAAUACUACCAUCAUUACUAGACUACCAGUUUAAAUGGAAAUGAAGAGAGAGAGAGAGAAGAGAACGCACGUUAGUAAAUCAGCUUUGGGACGGUUCCUUGGCAAGAAGGACAGGGGCAAAGGACGCUUUAACUGAACUCAUUAAAGCACAUGGAAGGCGCGGUUGCUGCUGUGAGAACAUAACUCAAAGCAGAGAGAGGGAAUGGAAAUGAGUCAGUAUAGACAAAACCGAUGCUGUAGGAAAGGAAAGCCUGCAUGAUAACCCGAUGCUGGAAAAACGCACAGCUUCUAUAAGAAGCACUACACAGCAGCAAAACUAAAACAUCUAGAAUCUGAAAGCAAAACUGAAAAGUCUAGAAUAAGAACAAAAUCCAAAGCCAGAUUUUAAGUCAGCCUAAACUGACUGCAGAGCGCAGUGAUGAAAACAAGCACGUGGGUCCAAGAGGCUGCUGCUCUUCCUUCUCCCCGUCUGUAAAUGGGGGAGGGUCUCCCUAAGGCAGCCGCCCAAAGGCGGCCCCAGGGGCAGCCGGG